UCACAAGGUUGAAGAGAGAAAAAGAGCCUUCCUCUUAUUUAAGCUACGGAUUCAACCAUUGUAGGGUUCAACCAGCGAAGAUCAACUUCGAGUGUUGCAUUCCUUUGGAGGAACACUUCAUUAGUGUGUUCUAGGUGAGCAUACUUAGGGAUUGUACACUCUACGAAGAGGGACUAAAGAUUUGGUAAUUCUAUACAAGAAACCAAGACGAUAGAGCAUGUGAGUGGGUGGAUUGCACAAAAGGCCAGGAGCAGGAGGCUGCCGACGAUGAUACAUGAUAGUUUUAUUUUAUUUUACUUAUAAGAAGAAGCAUUAAUUUAUAUUAUGAUGAGA
Long non-coding RNA from Macadamia integrifolia, 333 nucleotides. RefSeq lists it as uncharacterized. The transcript has 3 exons. The record is from RefSeq and is a predicted model, not a curated record. Lineage: Eukaryota; Viridiplantae; Streptophyta; Magnoliopsida; Proteales; Proteaceae.